GCCUGGCUGGCUCAGGGUGUAGAGCAUGGGACUCUUGAUCUCAGGAUCAUGAGUUCAAGCCUCAUACCGGGCA
This 73-nucleotide transfer RNA is filed under the name Mustela putorius furo (domestic ferret). It matches the Rfam family "tRNA". From Rfam's summary of the family: Transfer RNA (tRNA) molecules are approximately 80 nucleotides in length. Lineage: Eukaryota; Metazoa; Chordata; Mammalia; Carnivora; Mustelidae. The record is from Rfam by way of RNAcentral.